UAUCUACAGGCUUAACACAUGCAAGUCGAGGGGCAGCAUGGUCUUAGCUUGCUAAGGCCGAUGGCGACCGGCGCACGGGUGAGUAACACGUAUCCAACCUGCCGUCUACUCUUGGACAGCCUUCUGAAAGGAAGAUUAAUACAAGAUGGCAUCAUGAGUCCGCAUGUUCACAUGAUUAAAGGUAUUCCGGUAGACGAUGGGGAUGCGUUCCAUUAGAUAGUAGGCGGGGUAACGGCCCACCUAGUCUUCGAUGGAUAGGGGUUCUGAGAGGAAGGUCCCCCACAUUGGAACUGAGACACGGUCCAAACUCCUACGGGAGGCAGCAGUGAGGAAUAUUGGUCAAUGGGCGAGAGCCUGAACCAGCCAAGUAGCGUGAAGGAUGACUGCCCUAUGGGUUGUAAACUUCUUUUAUAAAGGAAUAAAGUCGGGUAUGGAUACCCGUUUGCAUGUACUUUAUGAAUAAGGAUCGGCUAAUUCCGUGCCAGCAGCCGCGGUAAUACGGAGGAUCCGAGCGUUAUCCGAAUUUAUUGGGUUUAAAGGGAGCGUAGAUGGAUGUUUAAGUCAGUUGUGAAAGUUUGCGGCUCAACCGUAAAAUUGCAGUUGAUACUGGAUAUCUUGAGUGCAGUUGAGGCAGGCGGAAUUCGUGGUGUAUCGGUGAAAUGCUUAGAUAUCACGAAGAACUCCGAUUGCGAAGGCAGCCUGCUAAGCUGCAACUGACAUUGAGGCUCGAAAGUGUGGGUAUCAAACAGGAUUAGAUACCCUGGUAGUCCACACGGUAAACGAUGAAUACUCGCUGUUUGCGAUAUACGGCAAGCGGCCAAGCGAAAGCGUUAAGUAUUCCACCUGGGGAGUACGCCGGCAACGGUGAAACUCAAAGGAAUUGACGGGGGCCCGCACAAGCGGAGGAACAUGUGGUUUAAUUUGAUGAUACGCGAGGAACCUUACCCGGGCUUAAAUUGCAGAUGAAUUACGGUGAAAGCCGUAAGCCGCAAGGCAUCUGUGAAGGUGCUGCAUGGUUGUCGUCAGCUCGUGCCGUGAGGUGUCGGCUUAAGUGCCAUAACGAGCGCAACCCUUGUUGUCAGUUACUAACAGGAUUUGUUGAGGACUCUGACAAGACUGCCAUCGUAAGAUGUGAGGAAGGUGGGGAUGACGUCAAAUCAGCACGGCCCUUACGUCCGGGGCUACACACGUGUUACAAUGGGGGGUACAGAGGGCCGCUACCACGCGAGUGGAUGCCAAUCCCAAAAACCUCUCUCAGUUCGGACUGGAGUCUGCAACCCGACUCCACGAAGCUGGAUUCGUUAGUAAUCGCGCAUCAGCCACGGCGCGGUGAAUACGUUCCCGGGCCUUGUACACACCGCCCGUCAAGCCAUGGGAGCCGGGGGUACCUGAAGUGCGUAACCGCGAGGAGCGCCCUAGGGUAAAACUGGUGACUGGG
Molecule: ribosomal RNA, 1438 nt
Filed under: uncultured organism
Description: SSU rRNA
Rfam family: Bacterial small subunit ribosomal RNA
Source: RNAcentral